CCCCAUGCAAUCAGACAGCGGAACAACAAGAGGCUCUCUGGUCAGCUGGGCCUGGACGCCCGGGGACAAAUCCUUGGUAUAGGCGGUGAGCUCUUGGGCCAGGAAUUUGGGGCAAAGCUGAACGAGUCCCACCCCAAGGGUACAUCCAGCCUAACCAUGGGGCUCCAAACUUCCCUUCUCAGGGGCAGAUAUAACCUCAUCUACGAGGGUCCUUAUCAUCACAAGUUUGGCCCAGCAAAUGAUGUUCCUCAACUGCACCACAGCCACUGCAUCUCAACAGGUCCUCAGUCUCUCUUGCAACAACAAAAGCUGAAGUUGAAGUGUGAAAGAGAGAAAGAGUUGACAUGAAAUUGCUGCUUCAGCCUUAAUUGGAACAUCAGCAGCACCAGCAACAACAACACUUAAAAUUCAGCAAUCAACAGUUUGAUUGACGAAGGCUUUUAAAUGAAAAACUGUCAAUUUACAAAGCACCCUUCCCUGAAAAUCUGGCCAAGCUAAUACACAAUGUGAAUGCAUCAACGUGACCCUUCAGAGAAACAGGAUUCCAGGCCGAAUGUCAAACUGUCUGGGCUCCAGCAGCAGCCUCAGCCGUGGGGGUCAGGUUCAUGAUGCACCUAUGCUCUCAAUGCUCUAUGAACAUCAUAAUCUCACAGCAACAGUGGAUAACAUGACCUUCAAGUUGGGGAUGGUUGAGGGUCUCCCAAAACCACCCAGUGCCUUGCGAUGAAAACCUCCAACGGGACUGUGACCUUGCCCUUGGACUCACCUAAUGGUCAGGUUCAAGGUCACAUGGGCUUAGAUAGUCACUGCAGUAAAAAAGUGUAUGGUUUUAAAGUAAAGAAGAUGACUUCACAACAUGACAUCCAAGACUGCAGGGACGAAAUGACUCACGCCAGCAGAGGAAGCCAAGACACAAUACGAGAAUUUCCAGCGGCUUACCUGCUUAAAACCUGGGUAGCAGAGCAAUGAGUAUAUCCCAGGAGCAUUUGCAGUCACAGCAAGUGAACCAGCGGCAGUCAUCGUCUCUAGAUUCCGAGAUCCCCAUGCUUCACAACCCUCAGUCUAUGAACAUCAUGCAGAGCAAACCUUGGACGUCCAUUGACGAAAUCAAACCGGCAAAUCAGAAGGACAGCCUAUUGCUACAGUUGUUAUCAUAUUAACCCCAGUCAUACCGAAGAAGCUCAGAGAUAUAAAUGCUGUUUAAGAUGUGCUAGUUUCUGCAUACUCCAUGUCUGGUGUGAACAUGUACAAAUGAAAGUCUCUACAUACCCCAUGUCUGAUGUGAACAUGUUCAAAUGAAAGUCUCUACAUACCCAAUGUCUGAUGUGAACAUGUACAAUUGAAGGUCUCUACAUACCCCAUGUCUGAUGUGAACAUGUACAAUUGAAAGUCUCUGCAUACUCCAUGUCUGGUGUGAACAUGUACAAUUGAAAGUCUCUGCAUACUCCAUGUCUGGUGUGAACAUGUACAAUUGAAAGUCUCUGCAUACUCCAUGUCUGGUGUGAACAUGUACAAUUGAAAGUCUCUGCAUACUCCAUGUCUGGUGUGAACAUGUACAAUUGAAAGUCUCUGCAUACCCCAUGUCUGAUGUGAACAUGUACAAUUGAAAGUCUCUGCAUACCCCAUGUCUGAUGUGAACAUGUACAAUUGAAAGUCUCUGCAUACUCCAUGUCUGGUGUGAACAUGUACAAUUGAAAGUCUCUGCAUACUCCAUGUCUGGUGUGAACAUGUACAAUUGAAAGUCUCUGCAUACUCCAUGUCUGGUGUGAACAUGUACAAUUGAAGGUCUCUACAUACUCCAUGUCUGGUGUGAACAUGUACAAUUGAAGGUCUCUACAUACCCCAUGUCUGGUGUGAACAUGUUCAAUUGAAGGUCUCAUCUUUGAAUUUGGGACAGGUGGAAAAUUAGUGACUUGAUUCAGACAAAAAUCGCAUAAUGACAAAUCCCAACAAAAAGUGGAAAGCCAGAAAGUCUUGUGGCCAGCCAUGUUUUUAUGUGACCAUCCCAGUUGUGUUCAAGGAAAAACAAAAGUUCAUGUUUUAUUGGAACUAUUAUGUUGUCAGUCAUUUUAUGUUGAAGGCUUUUAUUAACUAUAUUUAAAUUUAAUAAGAUUAAGAUUACUUGAUAAAAGCAAUAAUGUAAGAUAUUAUUAUAAGCGCAAAAUUAGCUUUGUACUUUGUCUGUUUUGUGAAAUUUUAUUUUGGAAAUGUUAAGGAAAAUAUAAUGCUAGUAAAUAUAUGUCUAUGCAUGUUGAAUUUAACAUUUGUCAAACUGUUUUAAUGAUGCUGGUAACUUUGACAAAAUUGAAAAAAAUGUAUUGUUUUCAUGUAAUGACACAUGUUUUUUUUUGCUAAACCUGUACUAUAGAGGUCAUAGUUACAAGAAUUAUUCAGACAGGUGGAGAAUGUUUAUGCUAUGGCUUUGAUACUCUUCAGUGUGCCCAUUGGUGUCAGUGUUUUUCGGCGUAAGCUGUAUUAAGCCAGCUUUUCACCCUGACUUGAACUUUGUAAGUGUCCAAUAAUACUCAAAUAAAAUUUCCCGCGGCUAGGUACGAAUGAAUACACUUCAUUUAUUCCAUUGGCUGAUUUGAGUAUAACACCAGAACAUUGGAAACAUAUCCGCGUCUUUGUAACACUGUUUUACUGCAUGAAACAAUUUUAUCUCUAAUUAAAAGGCUCAAUAGAUAGAACAGUUUUACAAUCAAUUUUCGACAUAAAUACAGUUUGUGCGUUCACCUUUUAUUUUCAGAGAAUUACCAGCGCAAAAGCGUUUAUACUAAAGGCUAUGUUGUCAUAUUUAGUACUUACUUGCAUUGCAUUUCAACCGGCGAGGUUCGGGUCAAUGCGCGGCCAUUUGUGUAAGUCAGAGUUUAUAUACAGUUCAUCACCGGAGUUCGCAGAAGGGGUUGCGAUCAUUGUGUUACACCGGUCUUACUGACAAUAACGUAGUGACUGUAAUGCAUUGCAUUCCAAUCCGCAAGGUAUCGAGGUCAGUUUGCGGUCAGUUGCAGAAAUCUUUAUAUAAACGCCGUCUCGUAAACUUUGUGCACUUGAAGUCUGUUUUGAUCAGAAAGAUACUAAAUAAAGAUAUUCGGCGAUAUUAUUGUGGUAUGUCAAUCAUCGAUUUUUGAUAUGGUUUCAACAUUUGCAUGAUAAGGACCAAUUUUUAUAAAAUUAAUUAGAAAUAUUUAUCCAUUUAGACCAGUUUAUUAAGCAUGAGCACAAUAAUUCGCUAUACUAUAAUUAUGCAAUUAAAUAAGAUUCGAGUAUUGCCGGCUGACCUAUAUGCACUCGUUUAUUUUCAUGUUUCUUGUGUUUUUCUAUUCUGUAAAUAUAGAUAUCUGAGUAAUAAUAUCACAUAAAGCAAAAUAAGCCACGAAAUCUGGCGCAACACCCCGUAAUUGAUUUGCUUAUGAUGUAGCUAAGAACUGCGCACAAAAAAGGCAUCCGCUACUUUUUAUCUCAUAGAGAUAACUUUUGAUCGUUCAUAAACAUCGACCACAAUCAACGCCGUAUAUCUUUUUUAAAGAUAUUUCUUGUUAUCAAUAAUGUUGUUUAUUGUCUUACUAUUUCUUGAAAAUAUUGAUUAAUUUCAGACAAAAACAUUUAAUCUUCCUUAAAUUGUCUAUUCUGUAUUUACUACCAGUUAUUUAAUUAUUUGCUUGAACAUGAUUUAAAAAUGACUUUUUUUGUGACUUAAAAUGCUUUACAUGUUUUAAAACUGAGUGUUUAAAAACGAAAAUAUGAGAUGUAGGGAUUAUGGCAAAGUUAUGAUCUGACUAUUUUUUGUUUUUGUAAGGUUUAUUAUGCUUUAUAUGUUUGUAUAUAGACGAGAUUAACUUGGCCAAGAAAUCUUCAUCACUGUAUAUAUUGGUCAGUACAUUUGUCAUUUGUAUUUGUAUAUAGAGCGAUAGCCAAAUGGUUGUAUUUACAAUGUAAAUCAUGCGUUUAUUGUUGCCAUUUUGACUUUCGCUGUAAACAUUCAUUUGUACAAACAAUUUUCAUCAUGUACAUCUUUUAGAUGCCAGAUAAUAAAAAAAAACAUUGCUUGUGGAGAUGCUCAUUUAAAACUUUCUUAAUGAUACAGAACAACACAUUCUGAAGAGGCAAAUAUGCUUUAGGCAAAAGGAACAUCUUGUUACUAGCAUAUGUAAUUCUUUUCAUAAAGUAAAGUCAAGCAACUAUUGAAAGAUUGGUUUAGCUUUGUUUUGCAUUAUCUUAAGAGAAAUUAAUUUAUUCAACUUGGAAAUCAGUCAAUUGCAAAUCAAGCGAGAGUGAUGUAAUAUGCUAACACUUGUCAAUAAUUGAAUUGUCUCUCUUUGUACGCAAGAUAGAGGGACGUUAUUGCUUGAAAAAUAAAGUUGUCUCCCUUGUUCCCUUGUUAGAUAAUACUUUUGUUCAUCUUUCAACAUAACAAGUACAUUCAGACAGUUAUUAAAAAUAUGACACACUUUAUACUCGGCCAUCAGUUUUUAUUAGGAUUUUGUGGAAUAUUUACUAAACUAAUAUACGUCUAUUUAAUAAAUUAAUAGUUAUGUGUGGAAUUCUGUCUUAAAUAUGGCAUGACCUAUCUUUUGUUUCAUUAAUUCGGAUCGGAAUAAUUUUAGGAAAUGGUAUGGUUAUGAGGGUCUCUACGUGCAAAAUGUUGCUUUUUGUGUUAAAGAUAUGGCUUGUACAUUGAAUUUGUUAUGGAAAUAUCAUAGUUUAUGUGACUUAAAGAGAUAUACAUGUU
Long non-coding RNA from Dreissena polymorpha, 4732 nucleotides. RefSeq lists it as uncharacterized. The transcript has 8 exons. The record is from RefSeq and is a predicted model, not a curated record. NCBI's taxonomy places the organism in Eukaryota, Metazoa, Mollusca, Bivalvia, Myida, Dreissenidae.